RNAcentral lists this ribosomal RNA (782 nucleotides) under uncultured bacterium. RNAcentral describes it as "bacterial SSU rRNA". It matches the Rfam family "Bacterial small subunit ribosomal RNA", at positions 8 to 798 of the family's 1533-position model. The record is from RNAcentral.
AGAGUUUGAUCCUGGCUCAGAUUGAACGCUGGCGGUAUGCCUAACACAUGCAAGUCGAACGAGGUAGCAAUACCUAGUGGCGGACGGGUGAGGAAUACGUAGGGAUCUGCCCUUAAGUGGGGGAUAACCCGGGGAAACCCGGAUUAAUACCGCAUGAUCUCGCAAGAGCAAAGAGGGGGACCGCAAGGCCUCUCGCUUUUGGAGGAACCUACGUCGGAUUAGCUAGUUGGUGAGGUAAUGGCUCACCAAGGCGACGAUCCGUAACUGGUCUGAGAGGAUGAUCAGUCACACCGGAACUGAGGCACGGUCCGGACUCCUACGGGAGGCAGCAGUGGGGAAUAUUGGACAAUGGGCGAAAGCCUGAUCCAGCAAUACCGCGUGUGUGAAGAAGGCCUUCGGGUUGUAAAGCACUUUAAGUUGGGAAGAAAAAGCUUCACCUAAUACGUGAAGCCUUGACGGUACCGACAGAAUAAGCACCGGCUAACUCUGUGCCAGCAGCCGCGGUAAUACAGAGGGUGCUAGCGUUAAUCGGAUUUACUGGGCGUAAAGCGUGCGUAGGUGGUUUGAUAAGUCGAUUGUGAAAGCCCCGGGCUUAACCUGGGAAUUGCGGUCGAUACUGUCAGACUCGAAAACGGUAGAGGGAGGUGGAACUCCAGGUGUAGCGGUGAAAUGCGUAGAUAUCUGGAAGAACACCGAUGGCGAAGGCAGCUUCCUGGGCCUGUUUUGACACUGAGGCACGAAAGCGUGGGUAGCAAACAGGAUUAGAUACCCUGGUAGUCCAA